UGAUGUAGCAGGUCCAAUUCGUAGCACUGUGAGUCAUAGACAGGCUGGAUGUUUGAGAGAGGACAAUAACACAGGUUGACUUGAACAGACAAAGACGGAGAGCUGAAAGCAAAUACAUUGAGAUUUCAGUGUAUGGUCAUGGAUCUGACCCUAUAUUUAAAAGUAUGUGGUUGUGCACCUUUAAAUGCCCAUAUAGUGGGUGGACAUAAUGCCACAGGAAGGCCCUGACCAUGGCAGGUUAUCUUCCAAAGCCCUAUUUAUGGUGGACAUUUCUGUGGAGGAACCCUCAACAACAAAUGAUGUCUACAGCACACUUUUUUAAAAGGACUACCAUCAACAGUGCAUGUGGGGAAGGAGACUCUUGAGGGUUCUAAUCCCCAUCAGGUUGCCAGAGCUGUUACACACCUGGUCUGUCAAAGAACUACAACAGUGUCAUCACUGACAGUGACAACGCCCUUUGACAUCUGAAGUCAUCAAUCAUGUGUCUGGCUACUAAGGACAGCACUUUUACUAAACCAUAUAUCAAGUCAAGUUUAUUUUUAUAGUGCUUUUAACAAUAGACAUUGUCACAAAGCAGCCUGACAGAAUUUGAAUGACUUUAAACAUGCGCUAAUUUUAUCGCUAAUCUGCUAAUAUAUACAUGCAAACACAAAUAUAUAGUCAUGUACAUUGAUGAAUAAGCAUGGCAUAAAUCUUUCAUAAAGCAAUACUGGAUAAUUUAUGAAAGGCUUGUAUAAAACUUGUAAGAUGACAAAUGACUUGUAAGCUUUUAUGUCAUGACAGAAUAAUAUUUACUUAUAUAUUAUACACACACACGGGGGUCAGUCAAAAAGUUCAAAGACAGAUGUUAUAAUUUCAAAAGGAAUUCAAAAGAAUUCAAAAAAGGAAUACAAAGAAGGAAUUCUCCAAUGGAAACAUCACUUAAGGAAGUGUUUAGACUUAAAUGGAGGAUAUGUAGAAAAAUAUCUUUGUUAUUUUCAUAAAUAAAGUUUUUUUUUUUCAUUUGACUUAGAACUUUUUGACUUACCCUCAUGUGUAAAGUAAGUAAGUAGCCUACCGUAAGUUAAUUUUAUUUAUAUAGCACUUUUCACAGAUAAAAAUCACAAAGUGUUUCACAGAUAAAACACAAUAAAACACGGUGAUUCACAGAUAAAACACAAUAAAAUAAAACACAAGACACUA
This is a long non-coding RNA of Neoarius graeffei (lesser salmon catfish), 1182 nucleotides long. RefSeq lists it as uncharacterized. The record is from RefSeq and is a predicted model, not a curated record. NCBI's taxonomy places the organism in Eukaryota, Metazoa, Chordata, Actinopteri, Siluriformes, Ariidae. The transcript has 3 exons.